This 253-nucleotide ribosomal RNA is filed under the name uncultured bacterium. Its description in RNAcentral is "partial 16S ribosomal RNA". It matches the Rfam family "Bacterial small subunit ribosomal RNA", at positions 524 to 776 of the family's 1533-position model. The record is from RNAcentral.
UACAGAGGGUGCGAGCGUUAAUCGGAAUUACUGGGCGUAAAGCGCACGUAGGUGGCUAUGUAAGUCGGGUGUGAAAUCCCCGGGCUCAACCUGGGAACUGCAUUCGAGACUGCAUGGCUGGAGUACGGAAGAGGAAGGCGGAAUUCCCGGUGUAGCGGUGAAAUGCGUAGAUAUCGGGAGGAACAUCAGUGGCGAAGGCGGCCUUCUGGUCCAGUACUGACACUCAAGUGCGAAAGCGUGGGGAGCAAACAGG